AAACAUUUAUUAUAAAUGAUAUUGCAAAUAUUUGAAUAAAAUAAAAAUAUUCAAUAAAAUAUUCUAAUUUCUUGUAAAACAAUAUUUAUAGAGUCAUCGGUAAUAAAUUUUUUAAUUUUUUUUUUGUAAUGUAAAAGAUAAAUAAAUUCAUACGUACUACAAUACAAAUAAUCAGGAUAUGAAAUUUACUUUACAGUGACUCGUGGGCCCACAAGGAACAAAAGUGCACAAAGGCAGUAAACAUACAGUUUUUGGAGUAGUAAAGCCGACUAUAGCCUUCGACGAUAUCAACUAUCUACACACUAUCCUAAGCCUGAAAUGGGUGGAAAGGAAGGUGGUGAGAUUAUAUAAUCCUAGUGAGUAAACAAAUACUAUCUAAAAUAUCUAAAGCAGAGUAAAUGGAGACAAUUAAAAUAAAUCAUCAUACUGUAAUUUCAUUACCUUUCAACUUAUUUCAACCAAAUAAACAACUAGGCUUAUGAUUUCUUGAAAAGCUUGGCUUGUGCCAAAAAUCAUUCUCAUACUCAGUUAUCAGGGAUGCCUUGAUCGAGGGUUAUCCCAACCGAGUCUGCCAAGGCUGUUAAAAAGUCAUGUGCGCAUAAAUUAUGUUUUUAUUUUGAAAACAUAGCCGUUCUUUAGCAUUGGCUAAGUUCACCCUUACAUGGUGAUUUGGCGUGAAGUGAACUCUAAAAGUGUUAGCCUCAGGAGUUAUCCACCCUGCCUUUCAUACUGAGGUAAGAUAUAACGAGGUUUACCGUGCCCUUCUAAUAGGCUGGUCCAAGGAAACCCGCCCACUGCAGUAAGCUAAUAAUUAUCCCACCAAUCAAUAAAAUUCAAUAACAUGAUAUGGCAAUUAUUGUAAUUCACAGCUUUUCAAGGCUAAAUACACAGUUUAUAUAUUUCAAUACAAAUAUCAAUUCAGCCAUUCAUGCAAAUAUUGUCAUAAGCCAGUCAAUUCAAAUCAUGAAUUUACAACACCUCAAGUGGUCUCCAGUUACUUUAUUUUCAAAGUCAUGAUUCAAUUUCGAGACAAUUUAUAAAAUAAUUUUAUUUAAACACGUUUUGUUUGUAAAACAAAAAGAUUUACCAUUUAAACUCAUUUUCCAUAAAAUCCACAAAUCGAAUAAAAACCACUCUAGAUAAUUAAGACCAUAGUAAGGUUACUCACUGUAUUAAGAGUUCGAUAUACUCCUAUUCCCGGUCUUCGAGCACAAUCUCUUUACCCUUGUUAGAGGGCUGACCACCUGUACAUCAUACGUGACACGCAUUUCAAUAAAUUGUGUCAAUUUAUCAUAAACUAUUUCAGGCUCUCUAAAUCUAAAUGAAUGCAUGCGAUGGGAUGCAAAAUGUCCGAUUAAUCACUUAAAUGUGAUAUUCGACCUAAGUCUAAUCGGCUAAAAUCUCCAAUUUAACUCCAAAUCAAUUCUUCUCACUUUCUACACUCUAAUUAUACCUAAAUUACCUCAGUGAUUGUGAAUGAGAUUCAAUUUAUCAGUCCCGGGUUAAUAAUCACACAUGUCUAUACGUUAAGCAAAAAUUCAGAUUUUCACACCAAAAUUUCCCAUUUAAUUUCUAGCCUCACCAAACAUCAAACAUCACCAAAAUAUCAUGAAAUAUCAUCAAUUUCAGCCAUAAUAUCCUCCCUAGAAAAUUCGGCCAAUGAUGGGUAAUGAGAGAAAAUAAAUUUUUCUUGUUGGUUUGUUUCUAGACAUGAUAAACUAACUAAAAACACUAACAUAACUUAGAAUCAAAUCAAUCCAACUUCAUUCUCUCUCCAUACCCAUUCCAAACAGCCAUGAAUUCACCAUAAAAACAUGAAAUCUAACCAUGAAAAAUGAAAAAGAAAGCAUGGGUAGUGUAAAUCACAAGUCAAAAUCAAGAAAUUUUACCUUUAUUAGCUUAAUCCCUUGAAAUCCCACACUUUUUCUUCAAUUUUCUCACCUAGGGUUCUUAUUUUUUUUCCUUUCCUCCUUUGUUCUUCUUUGGCCGGCCAUAUGAAUGAGAAAUGGGCUGAUUUUGUGUUAAUUUUAAAGCUAAAUAUUUAAUGGUUAUAAACAUGCCAUGUGUCACCAUUUCAUUGGUCCAUUUUUAUUUCUUAACUAUUAAGCUUUCUCUCUCCACCAUAUAAAUUCCUUCAAUUAUCCAUGAU
This 2149-nucleotide long non-coding RNA is filed under the name Theobroma cacao (cacao). RNAcentral's name for it is "long non-coding RNA (TCAC_LNC005524)". The record is from RNAcentral. Lineage: Eukaryota; Viridiplantae; Streptophyta; Magnoliopsida; Malvales; Malvaceae.